This 431-nucleotide ribosomal RNA is filed under the name uncultured bacterium. Its description in RNAcentral is "bacterial SSU rRNA". It matches the Rfam family "Bacterial small subunit ribosomal RNA", at positions 355 to 776 of the family's 1533-position model. The record is from RNAcentral.
UAGGGAAUUUUGCGCAAUGGGCGAAAAGCCUGACGCAGCGACUUCGCGUGUGGGAUGAAGGGUUUCGGCUCGUAAACCACUUUCAGAGGGGAAGAUGGGGUAAACGUAUAAUACACGUUUAUCUUGACUGUACCCUCAGAGGAAGCACCGGCUAACUCCGUGCCAGCAGCCGCGGUAAGACGGAGGGGGCUAGCGUUGUUCGGAAUGACUGGGCGUAAAGGGUGCGUAGGCGGUUUUUUAAGUGAGGCGUGAAAGCCCUGGGCUUAACCCAGGAAUUGCGUUUCAGACUGAAAAGCUUGAGUACGAGAGAGGUAAGUGGAAUUCCUAGUGUAGAGGUGAAAUUCGUAGAUAUUAGGAAGAACACCAGUGGCGAAGGCGGCUUACUGGCUCGUAACUGACGCUGAGGCACGAAAGCGUGGGGAGCAAACAGG